UUGGUUCUUCAGAUAUGAGUCUCAGAUGAUUUUUAGGUCUCAGAUGAUUUGUGGUUCCGAUUUCAAGCCGAAGCUUUGAUCCUGUGCUCCGAGAUGCACAGCCAGCCAGUCUUGUCUGCAUCAUUUGCAUCAUAGCAUGUUUAUUUUCAAAAAAAAUAUGCAAUAAAAAAAAUUGAAAAAAGAGAAAAAAAGAAAAGGAAAAAAACUAAUUUCCG
This 215-nucleotide long non-coding RNA is filed under the name Lathyrus oleraceus (garden pea). RNAcentral's name for it is "Pisum sativum (pea) long non-coding RNA (PSAT_LNC031074)". The record is from RNAcentral. Lineage: Eukaryota; Viridiplantae; Streptophyta; Magnoliopsida; Fabales; Fabaceae.